RNAcentral lists this ribosomal RNA (193 nucleotides) under uncultured Dinobryon. Its description in RNAcentral is "partial Eukaryotic small subunit ribosomal RNA". It matches the Rfam family "Eukaryotic small subunit ribosomal RNA", at positions 599 to 794 of the family's 1831-position model. Lineage: Eukaryota; Chrysophyceae; Chromulinales. The record is from RNAcentral.
GUAUACUAAAGUUGUUGCAGUUAAAAAGCUCGUAGUUGAAUUUCUGGUCUCGGACAGCGGUCUGCCUCAACCGAGGUAUGUACUAUCUGUCUAAGUCCAUCCUCGGGGAAAACAUGUCUCUGAUUGAGUUCAGGGGUAUGUGAUCCUCGUCAUUUACUGUGAGCAAAAUAGAGUGUUCAAAGCAGGCUUAUGC